This 634-nucleotide ribosomal RNA is filed under the name uncultured Salinisphaera sp. RNAcentral's name for it is "bacterial SSU rRNA". It matches the Rfam family "Bacterial small subunit ribosomal RNA", at positions 371 to 1287 of the family's 1533-position model. The record is from RNAcentral. Lineage: Bacteria; Pseudomonadati; Pseudomonadota; Gammaproteobacteria; Salinisphaerales; Salinisphaeraceae.
AUGGGCGAAGCCUGAUCCAGCCAUGCCGCGUGUGUGAAGAAGGCCUUAGGGUUGUAAAGCACUUUAAGCAGGAAAGAAAAGCGCCGGAUUAAUAAUCCGAGCGUAUUGACGGUACCUGCAGAAUAAGCACCGGCUAACUCCGUGCCAGCAGCCGCGGUAAUACGGAGGGUGCAAGCGUUAAUCGGAAUUACUGGGCGUAAAGCGAGUGUAGGCGGUUGCGUGUGUCGGAUGUGAAAGCCCCGGGCUCAACCUGGGAAUUGCAUUCGAAACUGCGUAACUGGAAUAUGGUAGAGGAAGACGGAAUUCCACGUGUAGCGGUGAAAUGCGUAGAUAUGUGGAGGAACACCAAUGGCGAAGGCAGUCUUCUGGGCCAAUAUUGACGCUGAGGCUCGAAAGCGUGGGUAGCAAACAGGAUUAGAUACCCUGGUAGUCCACGCCGUAAACGAUGAGAACUAGACGUUGGCUGACAUAGUCGGCCAGUGUCGCAGCAAACGCGUUAAGUUCUCCGCCUGGGGAGUACGGCCGCAAGGUUGAAACUCAAAUGAAUUGACGGGGAAUCGAAUUCCCGCGGCCGCCAUGGCGGCCGGGAGCAUGCGACGUCGGGCCCAAUUCGCCCUAWGNGGNNGUCGUAUUA